UCCGCCCGUCGUUGCCCGGCCAACCGCUCCCGCACCCGCCUCCCUCUCCUUUACGGCCCCGCCGCUCCCGCACCCGCCGCUAAGCCCCGCCUCCAACCCCUCCGCACCUUGAAGCCGGCCAGCCGCUCGGUCGAAGGCGACUACCCUGCACGCUCGCGUGCCAUGCGGUGCCGGAGGAAGGGGCCGCAUCCUGUGCGGCCGGCUCACCCGUCCGCCGCGCUCCGCCGUCCUCCUCGGUUGCCCCGGCACGCGCCUCCCCCGGCGCUCCUAGCUCCUCUUUCGCCUCUUGCUGGCCAACAGCCACCGUCACGCCCAUUCCCCUCCUCCCAGUAGUCACGAGCGCGCCUUCCCCUCCCCCUCCUCAUCUCAGUCUCUUGCAAGCCAGCGCCAUCGGCCUACUCUGUGGCACGAGACGCCGCCCGCCCAAUGCCAGCGGGGGAUGCCAUCCACUCCCUCCACCUCCUGGCCACGUCUGUCGCCUGCCCAGCACCACCCACCUGUCGUCUUCAACGAUCCAGCGUCCCUACCCCGAUGCGUAGCACUUGUGUAGCCUGUACAGCGGGUGGCCAUAUGUGCUUUCAGUGGCAACACUUCCGAGCCAGCUACUGAAGACGAUCAGGAAAUCAGAUCGAGGCUAUAUUCAGUUCAUGAACUGCUGCAACAAAUAUAUCUCAGGUUAAUGGCCUUCUUUCUCGAUUGAAGGAGAGGAUGAUAACUACCGGGAAGCACAUGAUGUUCUUCAUGAAUUCGACAAUAAUUUACGCUUCUCCUAAUGGUUCAGCCAAUUAAGAAGAGAAAAGAGGGCGGAGAAAAAUGUACGGCACAAGAAGAGAUGACUUUAGAAGCAGCGUAAACAGAUCAUGAUCAUGACAAAUCCCGAAACAUGUACCGGUAAGAGAGAAGGAAGUGAAGAAAAAGACAUUUGUGAGGAUCCUACAUUUUUAUUUUACUCACAGAGAUGGCAAUUGCUCCUUACCUAAAUAGUGGAGUUAGCAGCUACUUCUUUUCACAUUUGCCGACCCAUUAUAUGGAUCUGCAUCAUAUACAUGUGCAGAUAAAUAAUUAUCAGCCUGCUAGAUGAUAUGAAUUACAUCUUCAAUUCAUUGAUGGGGCAUCAUUUUUGUCCAUACUUUGUAUGACUUGACUGUACAAUCAUGAUGAUUUGUUCGCAACCUAUCUAAAAUAUAUCGUAUUAAAGAGUCCAUUUCUAACUCUAAUUUCAAAAAUAAUUUUGCAAUAUAUUUUUGUUUAUGCCAAACGGAAACCGACAAAAAAAAAUGAAAGAUUGGUUGUAGUUAAAGCGGAGCAUAUUCGGUAAGUCUCCUAGGAAGUUCUCUUAUGUUCCUUUGAUAUUUUAUAGCUACUGGUCGCAUGGCGGGUGAUAGCUCUCAGGUGUACUGUGGACUACUGUUGAUGGCUAUCCUUGCCUUUCUUCAGGGUUCUGUAUUGAGAUUGAUAUGUAACUAUUCCAUCUUCUAUUAUAAACAUUGUUUUUUUUAAAUCCAAUGAGCAUUCAUGUAGAACAGUGUCCACUCACAUCAAUGGAGUAAAUUAUGUGAGAUAAGCAUGAUCAAUAACAUGAAUUAUGUAGAACAGUAACAUGAAUUCAUGAUCAAUAUAUUCCUGAGGAGUUGCAAGUUUUCGUCGCCACAAAGGCAAUUAAUGGUUUUAUAACUUCAGGUAUGAGACGACUAAGACAAUUCUCAGUUUUCAUCUUAAUUGUAGUUGAUGGGUACCACGUAUUUGUUUGGACAGAUGGUGACACUUUUCUACUUUUUACACUACACUCAUACUCUCAUAUAUGGACUUGGAGAAUAUUUGCCUGGUGAAAAUGUGCCUUUGGGUGUAGUCAAUUUUACUUGAUAUGAGUUCUUGUUAUGGUACAAUAAUUUUUUAUUGUAACUUCUACCGAUCCUUGACAAUUGCAGAAUGUUUCCUCCGGCAAAGCCUUGAUAUAUUUCACAUUAGCGCAAAGUAAUUGUUGGCAACGCAGUAGACCAACAUCCGGUUAGUGACAUCCCUUAUUUGGUUAUUGUUGUUGGACAAUUUUUCUUAUUUAGUUAGGAUGCUCAUGCUUACAGUUAGGUGGCAGCAAAGAUUUUUUAGUUCCGAUUAAUUAUAAGCUAUCACAUUGUGUCCCUGUUAGACUACUAAUGCAUGUGCUGAAUGGAGGCAUCUUUUUACCAUUCACAUAUUAAGCUCGGUCAUACGUAUACCUCACUCCGUUUGUGAUUUUUUACCAUGCCUCUAUAAUCCUUGGAGAUUACGUACUUCACAAUCUUAACUCCAUUUAUUUAGCGAUUUUUCUAAACUUCUCAUCUGUGUCAGGUUAUUCAUUUUGUGUACCUCAUUUAGCAGUUAGAGUCCAUAUUGCUCUCCAUGUUCAGUACUCUGACCAGAACAAUGAUGUGGUUUUAGGCUCGCACAUGGCAAUUUCCCAAUAGAAGUUUGAUGUGUUUUUCUUUAUUUUUCUGUUUUGUAAUUCAGUUUUGGUAUGCUCUCUGAACCUGGCAAUAGUUUUCUUAUGGAGAUGGUACUUGAGAAUAGAUUAGUACAUUGAAGCCUUGGGUUGCAGGCCAACGACUUCUGGCAGUGCAACUAUAUGCUGCCUGUCGGCUCCGGCGGCGGCAGGUCAUGUUUGGCAUCACCAGGACCUUUGUUAGCCUAUCCUAGAGGGCAGUCCGUGGUAGAUGUGGUGAGGGUGCGUGCGGCGGAGCAGAUGGGUAAUUUGAUUUUCAGUUCAAAAUCAAUAAAAACAGGUUGCUUUCUUCGGCUACCUAAAGGAGCUCACUGAUAUUGUGGCAAUAAUCUAGGAGCACCAUCAGUCAUGUUGAUUGAGUAUAGUAUGCAGCAACACAGACUAUGCUAGGUGUUAUGGAAGGUAGGAGGAAAUAAUGGUAGCAAGUUGGGGGGUAUGAAUGAUAGACACCAAGGGAGAUGACGCGACAAGGGAAGGAGAAAGAUGGGGGAUGAGGAAGGAGGGAGGCGAUGAAGCUGGGAGAAAGGAGGGAGACACCAAAGGAGUUGGCAAAGGGUGAAAGAGAUUUUGCGCCACAAGGUUAGAUCGUGAUCAUGUUGCAACUGUUCCCUUUCCAUCAAUGCUCAUGUUCAAUGUAUUUUUUUGAAGUCCACAACUUUGGCAGCUCCACACAAUUGUUGGAGAGGAAGAUGGUAAAAUCAUUUAGGAUGAUUGUUGGGACUAUUGUGAAGCUCAAUAUUUAGUGGAGUAGUCUGGUGACAAAUAGGACAAGCCAUUAUACAUGAGUAACAGAUAAAUUUGUACAAUCACUUCCAUUUUUUUGUAGGAAGAUGGGAUGUAAUAGAUUAGGUAAAGAAAAUGUGCUUCAUGUGGACCUUCAGGUGAAGGAGAAAUUACAUCAUUGUGAUAUCAACUAAUUCUUCAUUCAUUGUUUGAUCAA
Hordeum vulgare subsp. vulgare (domesticated barley) is the source of this 3419-nucleotide long non-coding RNA. RefSeq lists it as uncharacterized. NCBI's taxonomy places the organism in Eukaryota, Viridiplantae, Streptophyta, Magnoliopsida, Poales, Poaceae. The transcript has 7 exons. The record is from RefSeq and is a predicted model, not a curated record.